GACGAACGCUGGCGGCGUGCUUAACACAUGCAAGUCGAACGGAAAGGCUCUGCUUUUGUGGGGUGCUCGAGUGGCGAACGGGUGAGUAACACGUGAGUAACCUGCCCUUGACUUUGGGAUAACUUCAGGAAACUGGGGCUAAUACCGGAUAGGAGCUCCUGCUGCAUGGUGGGGGUUGGAAAGUUCGGCGGUUGGGGAUGGACUCGCGGCUUAUCAGCUUGUUGGUGGGGUAGUGGCUUACCAAGGCUUUGACGGGUAGCCGGCCUGAGAGGGUGACCGGCCACAUUGGGACUGAGAUACGGCCCAGACUCCUACGGGAGGCAGCAGUGGGGAAUAUUGCACAAUGGGCGGAAGCCUGAUGCAGCAACGCCGCGUGCGGGAUGACGGCCUUCGGGUUGUAAACCGCUUUCGCCUGUGACGAAGCGUGAGUGACGGUAAUGGGUAAAGAAGCACCGGCUAACUACGUG
RNAcentral lists this ribosomal RNA (467 nucleotides) under uncultured bacterium. RNAcentral's name for it is "partial 16S ribosomal RNA". It matches the Rfam family "Bacterial small subunit ribosomal RNA", at positions 28 to 507 of the family's 1533-position model. The record is from RNAcentral.